Molecule: ribosomal RNA, 305 nt
Filed under: uncultured bacterium
Lineage: Bacteria
Description: bacterial SSU rRNA
Rfam family: Bacterial small subunit ribosomal RNA
Source: RNAcentral
UUUUCCUACGGGGGGCAGCAGUGGGGAAUAUUGCACAAUGGGGGAAACCCUGAUGCAGCGACGCCGCGUGGGUGACGAAGUAUUUCGGUAUGUAAAGCCCUAUCAGCAGGGAAGAAGAUGACAGUACCUGACCAAGAAGCCCCGGCUAACUAUGUGCCAGCAGCCGCGGUAAUACAUAGGGAGCGAGCGUUAUCCGGAUUUAUUGGGUGUAAAGGGUGCGUAGACGGAAAUACAAGUUGGUUGUGAAAGCCCUCGGCUUAACUGAGGAACUGCAACCAAAACUAUAUUUCUUGAGUAUCGGAGAG